Molecule: ribosomal RNA, 280 nt
Filed under: uncultured bacterium
Lineage: Bacteria
Description: partial 16S ribosomal RNA
Rfam family: Bacterial small subunit ribosomal RNA
Source: RNAcentral
CCUACGGGGGGCAGCAGUGGGGAAUCUUGCGCAAUGGGCGGAAGCCUGACGCAGCAACGCCGCGUGCGGGAAGAAGGCCUUAGGGUCGUAAACCGCUUUCAGGGGGGACGAAGCUUCCGGGGUGAAUAGCCUACGGGGUGACGGUACUCCCAGAAGAAGGUCCGGCUAACUACGUGCCAGCAGCCGCGGUAAUACGUAGGGACCGAGCGUUGUCCGGAAUCAUUGGGCGUAAAGAGCGUGUAGGCGGCCUGGUAGGUCUCGUGUGAAAUCCCGCGGCUCA